This 309-nucleotide ribosomal RNA is filed under the name uncultured bacterium. RNAcentral describes it as "bacterial SSU rRNA". It matches the Rfam family "Bacterial small subunit ribosomal RNA", at positions 28 to 334 of the family's 1533-position model. The record is from RNAcentral.
GACGAACGCUGGCGGCGUGCUUAACACAUGCAAGUCGAACGGUGACGGAGGAGCUUGCUCCUCCUGAUCAGUGGCGAACGGGUGAGUAACACGUGAGCAACCUACCCUCGACUCUGGGAUAACUUCGAGAAAUCGGAGCUAAUACCGGAUACGAGACGCGCAGGCAUCUGCAGCGUCUGGAAAGAUUUAUCGGUCGGGGAUGGGCUCGCGGCCUAUCAGCUAGUUGGUGAGGUAACGGCUCACCAAGGCGACGACGGGUAGCCGGCCUGAGAGGGCGACCGGCCACACUGGGACUGAGACACGGCCCAG